RNAcentral lists this ribosomal RNA (253 nucleotides) under uncultured bacterium. RNAcentral describes it as "partial 16S ribosomal RNA". It matches the Rfam family "Archaeal small subunit ribosomal RNA", at positions 474 to 727 of the family's 1478-position model. The record is from RNAcentral.
UACCAGCACCCCGAGUGGUCGGGACGUUUAUUGGGCCUAAAGCAUCCGUAGCCGGUUCUACAAGUCUUCCGUUAAAUCCACCUGCUUAACAGAUGGGCUGCGGAAGAUACUAUAGAGCUAGGAGGCGGGAGAGGCAAGCGGUACUCGAUGGGUGGGGGUAAAAUCCGUUGAUCCAUUGAAGACCACCAGUGGCGAAGGCGGCUUGCCAGAACGCGCUCGACGGUGAGGGAUGAAAGCUGGGGGAGCAAACCGG